RNAcentral lists this ribosomal RNA (392 nucleotides) under uncultured bacterium. Its description in RNAcentral is "bacterial SSU rRNA". It matches the Rfam family "Bacterial small subunit ribosomal RNA", at positions 133 to 518 of the family's 1533-position model. The record is from RNAcentral.
AUAGUAGAGGAUACGCCCGGACGAAAGUCGGAUUUAAUACUCUAUGUUGUACAACGAGGACAUCUGAAUUGUAACCAAAGAUUCAUCGCUAGUGGGAGUGGGAUGCGUCUGAUUAGCUUGUGGCGGGGUAACGGCCCACCAAGGCGACGAUCAGUAGGGGUUCUGAGAGGAAGGUCCCCCACAUUGGUACUGAGACACGGACCAAACUCCUACGGGAGGCAGCAGUGAGGAAUAUUGGUCAAUGGACGAGAGUCUGAACCAGCCAAGUAGCGUGCAAGGAUGACUGCCCUAUGGGUUGUAAACUGCUUUUAUGCGGGAAUAAAGUCAGGUACGUGUACCUGUUUGUAUGUACCGCAUGAAUAAGGACCGGCUAAUUCCGUGCCAGCCGCCGC